Molecule: long non-coding RNA, 238 nt
Filed under: Brassica napus (rape)
Lineage: Eukaryota; Viridiplantae; Streptophyta; Magnoliopsida; Brassicales; Brassicaceae
Description: long non-coding RNA (BNAP_LNC020718)
Source: RNAcentral
CUAGCCACACUGACCGAGAAUGCAAGAUCCGGUCGUGUAUGAAGUAAAUAGCGUAAACAUCCCACGUUUCUUCUAUACGUUAUUGCUUCAAUCUCUUCUUUUUCUUCAGCUUUCGAAACCUCUUGCGUAUGCUUCUUGUUUAAGCUCGAUCCCGUCAUUACAUUGAUGAAGUCUAUCCCAAGAUAAUAUGUGAGUUUCCCUAAGUCAGAUAUCUCAAACUUUGAUGACAUCCCUCUCU